This 157-nucleotide non-coding RNA is filed under the name Peptoniphilus obesi. Its description in RNAcentral is "Lysine riboswitch". It matches the Rfam family "Lysine riboswitch aptamer". Rfam says of the family: Riboswitches are metabolite binding domains within certain messenger RNAs that serve as precision sensors for their corresponding targets. Allosteric rearrangement of mRNA structure is mediated by ligand binding, and this results in modulation of gene expression. This family includes riboswitches that sense lysine in a number of genes involved in lysine metabolism, including lysC. Lineage: Bacteria; Bacillati; Bacillota; Tissierellia; Tissierellales; Peptoniphilaceae. The record is from RNAcentral.
UGAUAGAGGCGCGAUUGACAUUAGUAGUUCAAUUUUCAGGGAAUCGAAUUGAGCAAAAGGGGAUAUCGCCGAGGGGUUAAAAGUUUGCCCAGAACUUUUAAUUGCCGGGAUGCAGGAGAAAAUUUUGCAUACUGUCGUUAUUAACGGAGAGCUGUCG